AUUGAACGCUGGCGGCAUGCCUUACACAUGCAAGUCGAACGGUAACAGGUCUUCGGAUGCUGACGAGUGGCGAACGGGUGAGUAAUACAUCGGAACGUGCCCGAGAGUGGGGGAUAACGAGGCGAAAGCUUUGCUAAUACCGCAUACGAUCUCAGGAUGAAAGCAGGGGACCGCAAGGCCUUGCGCUCACGGAGCGGCCGAUGGCAGACUAGGUAGUUGGUGGGAUAAAAGCUUACCAAGCCGACGAUCUGUAGCUGGGCUGAGAGGACGACCAGCCACACUGGGACUGAGACACGGCCCAGACUCCUACGGGAGGCAGCAGUGGGGAAUUUUGGACAAUGGGCGCAAGCCUGAUCCAGCCAUGCCGCGUGCAGGAUGAAGGCCUUCGGGUUGUAAACUGCUUUUGUACGGAACGAAAAGACUCCUUCUAAUAAAGGGGGUCCAUGACGGUACCGUAAGAAUAAGCACCGGCUAACUACGUGCCAGCCGCCGCGGUAA
This 498-nucleotide ribosomal RNA is filed under the name uncultured bacterium. Its description in RNAcentral is "partial 16S ribosomal RNA". It matches the Rfam family "Bacterial small subunit ribosomal RNA", at positions 30 to 523 of the family's 1533-position model. The record is from RNAcentral.